Molecule: long non-coding RNA, 3701 nt
Organism: Canis lupus familiaris (dog)
Lineage: Eukaryota; Metazoa; Chordata; Mammalia; Carnivora; Canidae
Exons: 3
Source: RefSeq, a predicted model, not a curated record
GGUUGUUAUCAAUGGUACUUAUCUCAUAGAGUGGUUAUAGUAUUAAGUAAUUUAAUCCAUAUUAAGUACUUAGAAUCUCCCUGGGAAAGGCACACAAUAAAUAUUAGUUAUUAUUACUCCAUACUGCUACCCAUACUAAUUAUAGGGUGCUAUGAUAAUGAAGGUGGGGAGCUAGAAUAUGCACAUCGUGUGAAGGAAUGAAAGAUGAUGCCGUGCAAAGCGGGCUUGGGCUUGAGGUAAUAUAUUGCUUCCUGACAUAAUGUUGAUGGGGUUUCACUAGGCCACUAAAAUCUCUGCUGUUGAAAGGCAGUAAGAUCUCUACCACUAGAUAACUAGGUAGCCCGAGCAGGACACUGAUAAUGCAUAUGUUCAUCUCUACCUGGAAAGUGGGCUCCUCUGCAGACAGAGAAUCUAGGAUGAUCUGGAGAAUGCAAGCCUGUAUAGGUAACUUCCUCAAAUCCCUCUCCUCCUCUGGACUCCAGGCCAGAAAUAUAGGACUCACAACUUCCAUGCCACCCCUGUCCUCCUUCUACAGCAAGGAAUAAUUUUCAGAAGAUGUUAAAAAUCUCAUACAAAUACCCAAUGAACACACAUCAGAGUUUUAUUUAACUCAAUGAGAGGGCCAGUGGAGAACCAGAGAAUCAGCAAAACCUCUGGCUUAGCCACAAAGAAAGACUUAAAUAAAUACCAUCUCUCAUUGAAGGAAGGUGAGAGGGCAAAGAAAAUUUGAGGUCAACGGGAGCUAAUUUUUCCCUCAUCCUAGACAGAUGUUCACUUGUUCUUCCUAAUUUGUGAUUUCAUAGAUAAGCUCCAAGGCUUCAGGGCUCUUUACCUCAUGUUGAUGGGUUGUUUUGGCUGCAUUGAGGAUAAAGUUGCAUGCUAAAUGUGUGAAGAACUUGGAAAGGGAUGGGGAAUUAGUUUUUAGUUAUGAUGGGUUCGGCUAGUGGACUUACAGAGAUGUAUGGUCCAUCCAUCUAGUAAGCGGAUCUAUUGUAAUCAAGAGAAAUGGAAAGAUUAGGACCAGGAGGAGAAAUAAUCAUUCAGUGUUACCUAUGGUAUGUCAAGCUUCAUUGAAGCCCAUUGGAAGCUGUCAGAAAGUGUCUCUCCCAGUAGGAUCAUGAGACCUUCUCAUAUUACUGUGUAAUGAGUUUCCUAAGUGAGCUAUAGCAGAGCCUAUGUUGCUCUUCUAAUAAAAACAUGUCCAUCUUUAUUAAGAGAGAAGACUUAAGCAGUGUGUCCAUGUCCUUUGUUCUUUCUUAUAAUUAUGCAGUGUUUAAAUUGUCAAAAUUUCCUUCUUAAAAAUUAUACUUGACAUAAAUGCUAUGCAGCAUUGGGGGAAAAGAUGGUUCACCCAUGUUUCAAACAAGGCCAAAAGGACGCUAAUUCAGUGUCGUUUUGGUAUUUUAUUUCUGUCCUGAGUGAAAUAAUAAAAGGGACAGAAGAUUUUACCUCUAAAGACAGCUAUGAAUGGACAAUUGAAGAAAAACACACGGAGGCGGAAACCAGAAUCUGAGAAGGUAAUACCUGGCGUCAUGAUUUGUAUGCAGUAAAGGAAAAGGGGAAGAUGCGGCUCAUCUUUCUGUCUUGGUGUCCUGUGAUUUCUGCAUUGUUAACCAAUAAUGAAAUUCCUGCCUUAUUGAAGUAUGGAGACAACUCCACCUCUAGAUUCUGAAGCAACAACACAGGGUGAACAGCUGUGGGAGCAACCUGUGAAACAGUCCAUGAAAAUUACUCCUGCUGAUAGAGGGAGUCUUUCCUUUGCUUGCUGGCCUCCUGCUGAACUUACCCUUCUCAUCGUGACGUGAGCCGACGUGCCUACACGAUGAAGUGAGGAGAGGCACUGGAGCAUAGCACUGGGCUCCUAUGGACCUUCUGACCAUAUGUCAAGAGGAUCAUCUGCUUCUGGACUGCCACUUACUACAGGUAAUUGCCACAACCUUGAGAUCAAGAGUUGCAUUCUCCAUCAGCUGAGCCAGCCAGGUGCCCCUAAUUCUAACACUUUGAAGUAUUAAAGCCAAUAAGCUUCUGGUGUGCAUAAUUCAUAUUCAUAAGUAAGCUUUUCUUAGCUUCCUAAUUUUUACUUCUUCCCACCUUUGAUUUUUUUUUUCUUCCCACCUUUGAAAUCAUUGGUAUCUACUUAGUGACCUUGUUUUUUUUUUGUGAUCUCUGCAUCCAUGUGAAGCAAGCUCAGGAAGACUUCAGGCAUUUCUUUGUUCUGCUCUUCUGCUCUCAGGUAUAAAAUUUGGAAAUACUUAACUUCUCAUUUGAAAAUUAGUGUCAAUUCAUGAGUUUUGGAGGGUGUUUUGAAGUCCUCUGCUAUUACCCAACUAUCUCUGCCUCAACAUGAAGAUGAAUGUUCCAGCCUUCCUUUUUCCAUUGAGGUUUCUGAUCCAGUAGGACUUGCUGGAUUCCUGCUGGAGGAGUUCAGGUGCUCCUAUCAGUUUUGGUAGAGACAAUAGUAGCAACCUUAGAAUUGCACACUUGGCCACUUGGACUGUAAUUUCUAAAAAUCCAGAUGUCAACUUUUCAGAAUCAAGGGGAUCCAGACCAUAAUCUGUUGAGCAAUUCUUCUGAAGGUGGCUACAAUGUUAUCACAGUCCUAUGGAGGGAUGGGCCAGCCAGCAACCUAACAUUCUGGCAUUAUUUUCUUCCCUUGAAAUUUCUCUUCAGCAAUAUCUACAUUGUCAUUUAUCCCAUUUGACGGAUUUCUCUUGGCUAAUUCAGAGAAACUUUUUUUCCUCCUUCCCAAUCUUGCCAUCCAACUUACAAGGGCAGGAUGGGGGGUGGCAGAGGGAAUUAUAGGUAUUUAAAAAAAGCUUCUCAAAUGUAGUGGCAGUCAGAGAAAUGCAAAUAAACGCCGAGAUGCCAUACUUGUGCAUAGAAGACUGGCAAAUGUUCUAAAGUUGGUAUUUCACUUCCAUAUUGCUACUAGACAAACUACAACCAAACUUAGUGGCAGUGCCCUUAAGAUUCUGGAAAUCUCUCUUUUAACAAAGUCUAAGAGACACACACUCUACUGAUGUCUUCUGACAUAUCAAAGUCAAAAAAGAGUUUUAGAGCUGUACCCGACCUGGACAGCUUACUUCAAAAUUUAUCCUGAGACCGAAUUUUACUGACAACACUCCACAUUUGAUCUCUGUAGUUCUUAUUUUGACAACCUUUUGCUUGCUAGGAAAGGCCAGCCUGGCUCUCAACAUCCUCCAAACUGUGCUACAUAAUUCAACAGUUCUGUCAUUUAUGUCUGUCUUGUAUUUUAUCAGAGGCAGCUAUUUGUCCCUUUUAACGUUCUGCCUGCCAAUUUCCCCAGCCAGAUCUUACAGAUGUGGUGGGUCCUGGAGUUCAUUUCUGGGAAGAACCAGCCUCAGAUGCUUUUGCAUCUUCCAUCUGACAGAAAUGAGUAGAAUUUGGUACCUGGAUUAAAUAAGAAGGGAGCAAGUGGUUCAUCACAAACUAUAGGUUUUAUAUUUAAGACCUCUUGGGGGAAAACAGUGUAUUCUACUUUAUUAUUCCUGGGGCUUGAAGAUUUUGAAUUUGUGAAUAUAUGCCCGCAGACAGAACGAUCUUACAAAAUCUCUGAGGAGUCCAAUAGGUGUUACAUAGAUUCUCAGAGGAGUCACUAAAUAUGUUCAUGCGAGGUUGGGUAAAUAGAAAAUUUUCAUUCCAGUUAUCUAUGAAACACCUAUUUUUAAAUAAAUCCUUAC